AGGACGAACGCUGGCGGCGUGCUUAACACAUGCAAGUCGAACGAUGAUGCUGCAACUUGUUGUGGUGGAUUAGUGGCGAACGGGUGAGUAACACGUGAGUAACCUGCCUUUCACUCUGGGAUAAGCCUUGGAAACGAGGUCUAAUACUGGAUAUGACUUCUUGCCGCAUGGUGGGGGGUGAAAGCCUUCGGGUGGUGGAUGAUGGACUCGCGGACUAUCAGCUUGUUGGUGGGGUUGUGGCCUACCAAGGCAAUGACGGUUAGCCGGCCUGAGAGGGUGACCGGCCACAUUGGGACUGAGAUACGGCCCAAACUCCUACGGGAGGCAGCAGUGGGGAAUAUUGCACAAUGGGCGAAAGCCUGAUGCAGCGACGCCGCGUGGGGGAUGAAGGCCUUCGGGUUGUAAACUCCUUUCGCUCGUGACGAAGUCUCUUCGGGGUGACGGUAGCGGGAGAAGAAGCACCGGCUAACUACGCGCCAGCAGCCGCGGUAA
RNAcentral lists this ribosomal RNA (492 nucleotides) under uncultured bacterium. RNAcentral's name for it is "SSU rRNA". It matches the Rfam family "Bacterial small subunit ribosomal RNA", at positions 26 to 523 of the family's 1533-position model. The record is from RNAcentral.